GUGGUUUGCAGGCAUGAGGUGGCCACCACCAAACUUUAGUCAGUCAAUAGCCAGCAGGCUCUGCAUGGGCAUCAGCCCUUGGACACAAAAGUGACUAAAAGGAGCUGCUAAAUGCCCCAGUAGGGCUUCUGAGAAGAAAGGGCAGCAGAGUACCAGGAGGAGAAGCCUAAAGAACAAAAUGCAUUUGCUGAUCCUGGGGGAGCUUGCAGUUUCUAUGCCCUUGAUACUGUUACCAAGCUGAGCAAGAGGGAGAGGAAGCAGUGCUCAGCGGGUGAUAACCAGAACUUCUUGAAAUUUUAAAGGACGGCUAAGUGGUUAACCAGGGAAAAACUGUGAUUAAAUUAU
RNAcentral lists this long non-coding RNA (345 nucleotides) under Homo sapiens (human). RNAcentral describes it as "HSALNT0167778". Lineage: Eukaryota; Metazoa; Chordata; Mammalia; Primates; Hominidae. The record is from RNAcentral.